CUGAUCCUUGGGUGCACCUAGGGAAGCAACGCUGGGAGCAGUGAGAGGCUAUCCUGGGUACAGGGGCCGCAUUCUUUGGCUCAGAAUGUCAAAACAGUUCUAACAGGCUUUCCUAAUCCAAGCACAACAAGUAAAAGAAAUAUCUCAAGCAAAUCAAUGAUGGUGACCAGAGAAGUGUUAGGGAAGAUAGCAUAUCCAGAGACUCAGAGAAAUAUGCUGAAAUGGUCACCAUUCACUGGUUGUCACAGAAAUGACAAUGAUUACAAGGUAGGAAGGAUGUUGAACACCAGACAAGGAAGAUGAGGUCUCAGUGCAACAGGUGACCCUCUAAUAACUUACAAAGUGGUCUGUACCUUGUGUAUAAGCAAGUUGGUGGCUGGGGGUGUCGAUUACUGCUACCUACUUAGCUUGCAGAUAAAUGAUGCAGGUAGCUUUGAUUCAGUCUGGCUCAUCAAAGGACCACAUCCUCUGGUCAUGACCAUGGUGACCUCUUUCAGUUGUGAGGGCUUCAAUUGCAACUUUGGGGUGUUGAAGGGUGGGAAUGAGAAGUUUCAGAUGAGAGAAAAGACCUAUCAACCAGGACAUUUUUGACAGAGACAAAGAGAAGUUGCAUAGAAACUAUAUCAUUUGAGAUCUAGAAAUGCAGAUAUAUCAAAGAUAUAAAAUGCUUCCUUUAAGUGAACAGGUGAAAGUUCUUGAAUUAAUAAUGAAUAAAAAUAUUUAACACUGAAGUUGCUAAGAAAGAAUCUUCUAUAUGUGAAAUUGUGAAGAAGGAAAAAGAAAAUAAUGAUAGUUUUGCUGUCACACCUCAAAUUGCAAAGUUAUGACCACAGUGUAUUCCUAACUGCUGAGUCAAUAUGGAAAAGGCAUUAAGCAAUUGGUUCAGUAUUAUCACAGUUUUAGACAUCUGUUCUUGGGAUGUGUCCCCUAAGAAUAAGGAGGAGCUACUGUAUUAACAGUUCCAUCUACCAGUUGGGAGAUAUUUUUGUUGGAAUUUGGUUCCUAAAGUCUCCAGGUUAAUUGACAUCAUCCAUUUGUUCUUUUAGACUGAUUAGACUUAAAACUCACCCAAGAUCUUUCUUUUGAAUAUUUUCUAAGUGGGUGUGGUGGUGCACAUCUGUAAUCCAAAUUGAGACUCAAGCGAGAGGAUCACUUGAGCCCUGGAGUCCAGCCUGCAAUCUGGGCACACAUAAAUGACAUUUUUCAGCUUCCCUUAAAGUAAUGAGUAGCCACGUCAUCAUGUGCUGCUGGCCAAUGGUGUGUAUGGAGAAUUGGUUUGUAACCAUCCUUGAGUCAAGAGCCAGUGUAACUUCCUCCACCUUUUGCUUCUUCAUCUGCUGCAUUGAUAUCGGGUAGCCAUGUGUACCAGACAAUAUAGCUGGAGUAGAAGCUGCCUACAGGAGGAGAACUUCCAAGGAGAAACACACAGCCUGCAUUUUGCUGUUUUUUUCUGGCUUUAAGAGACUAAAACUUUGUGUUUGGUUGUUACAGCAGCUGUCAUGAAUUACCAUGAUAUAUUGGUAAUCUAUUAAUAUGUCUUAUCUAAAUUCUCCAAUGUAGUGCUCAGUUAUUUACUGUAUUUCAUUGUUAUUAUUCUGAAGAAUGUUUUACAGCAAAAUGAAACUCAAUAUUAUAUAUUUGAAAAGAUUAUCAUAGAGAUUGUAGCUUGGUAAAUUGUAUUGUAUGCCCUAUUAAGAAUUCAGAGAAGAAAUUUCUCUUAGUUCUAUUAAUAAUAAAAGAUCACUUACUUA
Long non-coding RNA from Marmota monax (woodchuck), 1751 nucleotides. RefSeq lists it as uncharacterized. NCBI's taxonomy places the organism in Eukaryota, Metazoa, Chordata, Mammalia, Rodentia, Sciuridae. The transcript is spliced from 4 exons. The record is from RefSeq and is a predicted model, not a curated record.